This 254-nucleotide ribosomal RNA is filed under the name uncultured bacterium. RNAcentral's name for it is "partial 16S ribosomal RNA". It matches the Rfam family "Bacterial small subunit ribosomal RNA", at positions 524 to 776 of the family's 1533-position model. The record is from RNAcentral.
UACGUAGGGGGCGAGCGUUGUCCGGAUUUAUUGGGCGUAAAGAGCUCGUAGGCCGUUCGGUAAGUCAGAUGUGAAAACUCCAGGCUCAACUUGGAGAGGCCAUCUGAUACUGCCGUGACUUGAGUCCGGUAGGGGAGCACGGAAUUCCUGGUGUAGCGGUGAAAUGCGCAGAUAUCAGGAGGAACACCGGUGGCGAAGGCGGGUCUCUGGGCCGAUACUGACGCUGAGGAGCGAAAGCGUGGGGAGCGAACAGG